RNAcentral lists this ribosomal RNA (420 nucleotides) under uncultured Gammaproteobacteria bacterium. RNAcentral describes it as "bacterial SSU rRNA". It matches the Rfam family "Bacterial small subunit ribosomal RNA", at positions 812 to 1232 of the family's 1533-position model. Lineage: Bacteria; Pseudomonadati; Pseudomonadota; Gammaproteobacteria. The record is from RNAcentral.
UCGAUUUGGAGUUUGUUGCCUAGAGUGAUGGGCUCCGAAGCUAACGCGAUAAAUCGAUCGCCUGGGGAGUACGGCCGCAAGGUUAAAACUCAAAUGAAUUGACGGGGGCCCGCACAAGCGGUGGAGCAUGUGGUUUAAUUCGAUGCAACGCGAAGAACCUUACCUGGUCUUGACAUCCACAGAAUCUUGCAGAGAUGCGAGAGUGCCUUCGGGAACUGUGAGACAGGUGCUGCAUGGCUGUCGUCAGCUCGUGUUGUGAAAUGUUGGGUUAAGUCCCGCAACGAGCGCAACCCUUAUCCUUUGUUGCCAUCGGUUUGGCCGGGAACUCAAAGGAGACUGCCGUUGAUAAAGCGGAGGAAGGUGGGGACGACGUCAAGUCAUCAUGGCCCUUACGACCAGGGCUACACACGUGCUACAAUG